This 370-nucleotide ribosomal RNA is filed under the name Bacillus cereus. Its description in RNAcentral is "bacterial SSU rRNA". It matches the Rfam family "Bacterial small subunit ribosomal RNA", at positions 1 to 358 of the family's 1533-position model. The record is from RNAcentral. Lineage: Bacteria; Bacillati; Bacillota; Bacilli; Caryophanales; Bacillaceae.
UUUAUUGGAGAGUUUGAUCCUGGCUCAGGAUGAACGCUGGCGGCGUGCCUAAUACAUGCAAGUCGAGCGAAUGGAUUGAGAGCUUGCUCUCAAGAAGUUAGCGGCGGACGGGUGAGUAACACGUGGGUAACCUGCCCAUAAGACUGGGAUAACUCCGGGAAACCGGGGCUAAUACCGGAUAACAUUUUGAACUGCAUGGUUCGAAAUUGAAAGGCGGCUUCGGCUGUCACUUAUGGAUGGACCCGCGUCGCAUUAGCUAGUUGGUGAGGUAACGGCUCACCAAGGCAACGAUGCGUAGCCGACCUGAGAGGGUGAUCGGCCACACUGGGACUGAGACACGGCCCAGACUCCUACGGGAGGCAGCAGUAGG